RNAcentral lists this long non-coding RNA (298 nucleotides) under Gossypium barbadense (sea-island cotton). Its description in RNAcentral is "long non-coding RNA (GBAR_LNC001172)". Lineage: Eukaryota; Viridiplantae; Streptophyta; Magnoliopsida; Malvales; Malvaceae. The record is from RNAcentral.
AAUAGCGCAUGCAAUGUCACAAGAGGGAUUAAGUCGAUGUGAGGAUGGCUACUGGGUCAAAGAUACUCCGGCGUUGGUAGAAGCAGCAGUUGCAUAAGACUAUCGUCUUCAUGAACCUCCAUAGAACUGUUGGUUUUCUUCGAAGGGUUGUGAGGAUUUGCAUUCUGAUGACUCCAUUUCUUGUUUGGUUGCUCUCUAUCCAGUAUUGUUAAUGAUUUUGUUUGAGCAACUACAGGUCAAAAUCACACGACUGAGAGAUUCGUUUUAGUAUUUUCCUUAUAACUGUUGGUUCUUUUAA